RNAcentral lists this ribosomal RNA (474 nucleotides) under uncultured bacterium. Its description in RNAcentral is "bacterial SSU rRNA". It matches the Rfam family "Bacterial small subunit ribosomal RNA", at positions 8 to 526 of the family's 1533-position model. The record is from RNAcentral.
AGAGUUUGAUCAUGGCUCAGAGCGAACGCUGGCGGCAGGCCUAACACAUGCAAGUCGAACGCGUGUAGCAAUACACGAGUGGCAGACGGGUGAGUAACACGUGGGAACGUGCCCUUCGGUUCGGAAUAACUCAGGGAAACUUGAGCUAAUACCGGAUACGCCCUUACGGGGAAAGAUUUAUCGCCGAUGGAUCGGCCCGCGUCUGAUUAGCUAGUUGGUGAGGUAACGGCUCACCAAGGCGACGAUCAGUAGCUGGUCUGAGAGGAUGAUCAGCCACACUGGGACUGAGACACGGCCCAGACUCCUACGGGAGGCAGCAGUGGGGAAUAUUGGACAAUGGGCGAAAGCCUGAUCCAGCCAUGCCGCGUGAGUGAUGAAGGCCCUAGGGUUGUAAAGCUCUUUCGGCGGGGACGAUAAUGACGGUACCCGCAGAAGAAGCCCCGGCUAACUUCGUGCCAGCAGCGGCGGUAAUAC